GCAAAAGCUCAAAUUUGAAAUCUGGUACCUUCGGUGCCCGAGUUGUAAUUUGGAGAGGGCAACUUUGGGGCCGUUCCUUGUCUAUGUUCCUUGGAACAGGACGUCAUAGAGGGUGAGAAUCCCGUGUGGCGAGGAGUGCGGUUCUUUGUAAAGUGCCUUCGAAGAGUCGAGUUGUUUGGGAAUGCAGCUCUAAGUGGGUGGUAAAUUCCAUCUAAAGCUAAAUAUUGGCGAGAGACCGAUAGCGAACAAGUACAGUGAUGGAAAGAUGAAAAGAACUUUGAAAAGAGAGUGAAAAAGUACGUGAAAUUGUUGAAAGGGAAGGGCAUUUGAUCAGACAUGGUGUUUUGUGCCCUCUGCUCCUUGUGGGUAGGGGAAUCUCGCAUUUCACUGGGCCAGCAUCAGUUUUGGUGGCAGGAUAAAUCCAUAGGAAUGUAGCUUGCCUCGGUAAGUAUUAUAGCCUGUGGGAAUACUGCCAGCUGGGACUGAGGACUGCGACGUAAGUCAAGGAUGCUGGCAUAAUGGUUGUAUGC
RNAcentral lists this ribosomal RNA (530 nucleotides) under Saccharomyces sp. Its description in RNAcentral is "eukaryotic LSU rRNA". It matches the Rfam family "Eukaryotic large subunit ribosomal RNA", at positions 101 to 645 of the family's 3401-position model. Lineage: Eukaryota; Fungi; Ascomycota; Saccharomycetes; Saccharomycetales; Saccharomycetaceae. The record is from RNAcentral.